AGUGAACGCUGGCGGUAGGCCUAACACAUGCAAGUCGAACGGCAGCACAGUAAGAGCUUGCUCUUACGGGUGGCGAGUGGCGGACGAGUGAGGAAUACAUCGGAAUCUACUUUUUCGUGGGGGAUAACGUAGGGAAACUUAUGCUAAUACCGCAUACGACCUACGGGUGAAAGCAGGGGAUCUUCGGACCUUGCGCGAUUGAAUGAGCCGAUGUCGGAUUAGCUAGUUGGCGGGGUAAAGGCCCACCAAGGCGACGAUCCGUAGCUGGUCUGAGAGGAUGAUCAGCCACACUGGAACUGAGACACGGUCCAGACUCCUACGGGAGGCAGCAGUGGGGAAUAUUGGACAAUGGGCGCAAGCCUGAUCCAGCCAUACCGCGUGGGUGAAGAAGGCCUUCGGGUUGUAAAGCCCUUUUGUUGGGAAAGAAAAGCAGCAGGUUAAUACCCCGCUGUUCUGACGGUACCCAAAGAAUAAGCACCGGCUAACUUCGUG
Molecule: ribosomal RNA, 492 nt
Filed under: uncultured bacterium
Lineage: Bacteria
Description: partial 16S ribosomal RNA
Rfam family: Bacterial small subunit ribosomal RNA
Source: RNAcentral